UACGAAGGGGGCUAGCGUUGCUCGGAAUUACUGGGCGUAAAGGGCGCGUAGGCGGAUAGUUUAGUUGGGGGUGAAAGCCCGGGGCUCAACCUCGGAACUGCCUUCAAUACUGGCUAUCUUGAGUACGGGAGAGGUGUGUGGAACUCCGAGCGUAGAGGUGAAAUUCGUAGAUAUUCGGAAGAACACCAGUGGCGAAGGCGACACACUGGCCCGUUACUGACGCUGAGGCGCGAAAGCGUGGGGAGCAAACAGG
Molecule: ribosomal RNA, 253 nt
Filed under: uncultured bacterium
Lineage: Bacteria
Description: partial 16S ribosomal RNA
Rfam family: Bacterial small subunit ribosomal RNA
Source: RNAcentral